AUCUGGGCGGCGGAAUUCAGGAUGGUUGGCGGGUCUCGCGCCCGUCAGCCGUUUGAUAUUUCCGUCGCCGUGUCAGACGUCGCGACCUGUUCGUCGCCGGUCCUUGCUCGGAGGAAUCGCGAUCGAGUUCGUUGCGGGUGCGUUUCGGCGUAUUCCGCGGUGAAGACGCGUCUCUCUGGCUGGCGACAGACAGUAAGCAACGGUGUCCGGCGUCGUGUCUCGCACUCGGCGUCGGUACCGGUCAGCGACGAUUUCUUCGGGCCUCUUUCCGACCCGUCUUGAAACACGGACCAAGGAGUCUAACAUGCGCGCGAGUCGCGGGGUUUCGAGCGUACUACGGUGCGCUCGUUACUUCCGAAACCCGUACGUUGAAGGCGUAAUGAAAGUGAACAGGGAAGAUGGCGUUCCGAGUCCACGUACCGUGAUCGAGUAUCGCGGCCGGACGUCCGCACUCCCGGGGCGUCUCAAUGGUUCGACGCGGAUGCGGACGAUCGUCUCUCGGGGCGGUCGUCGGUCUGCGCCGGUCCGA
RNAcentral lists this ribosomal RNA (529 nucleotides) under Megacanthaspis actinodaphnes. Its description in RNAcentral is "eukaryotic LSU rRNA". The record is from RNAcentral. Lineage: Eukaryota; Metazoa; Arthropoda; Insecta; Hemiptera; Diaspididae.